GAUGAACGCUGGCGGCGUGCCUAAUACAUGCAAGUCGAGCGAACAGACGAGGAGCUUGCUCCUCUGACGUUAGCGGCGGACGGGUGAGUAACACGUGGAUAACCUACCUAUAAGACUGGGAUAACUUCGGGAAACCGGAGCUAAUACCGGAUAAUAUAUUGAACCGCAUGGUUCAAUAGUGAAAGACGGUUUUGCUGUCACUUAUAGAUGGAUCCGCGCUGCAUUAGCUAGUUGGUAAGGUAACGGCUUACCAAGGCAACGAUGCGUGGACGACCUGAGAGGGUGAUCGGCCACAUGGGAACGGAGGCAGGGACAAGACGACUGAGGGACGCAGCAGUAGGGAAUCGUACGCAAUGGGCGAAAGCAUGACGGAGCAACGCCGAGCGAGUUACGAAGGUCCUCGGAUCGUAAAACCCUGCUACGAGUUAAGAACAGAUGUGGAAGGAAACGUGCACUUAUUGACGGUACUGAAUAAGAAAGCCACGGCUAACUACGUG
RNAcentral lists this ribosomal RNA (497 nucleotides) under uncultured bacterium. RNAcentral describes it as "partial 16S ribosomal RNA". It matches the Rfam family "Bacterial small subunit ribosomal RNA", at positions 28 to 507 of the family's 1533-position model. The record is from RNAcentral.